UACGGAGGAUCCAAGCGUUAUCCGGAAUCAUUGGGUUUAAAGGGUCCGUAGGCGGGUUAUUAAGUCAGUGGUGAAAGUUUUCGGCUUAACCGAAAAAUUGCCAUUGAUACUGGUAGUCUUGAAUUUUUGUGAAGUAACUAGAAUAUGUAGUGUAGCGGUGAAAUGCAUAGAUAUUACAUAGAAUACCGAUUGCGAAGGCAGAUCACUAAUAAAAUACUGACGCUGAUGGACGAAAGCGUAGGUAGCGAACAGG
RNAcentral lists this unclassified non-coding RNA (253 nucleotides) under uncultured Flavobacteriaceae bacterium. RNAcentral describes it as "contains 16S-23S intergenic spacer region". It matches the Rfam family "Bacterial small subunit ribosomal RNA", at positions 524 to 776 of the family's 1533-position model. Lineage: Bacteria; Pseudomonadati; Bacteroidota; Flavobacteriia; Flavobacteriales; Flavobacteriaceae. The record is from RNAcentral.